UACGUACGGCGAGUUCAUUUAUUAUUCCAAGUCCACGUCGGCAGUACGUCGUUAUUCGAGCACUUUGAGCACGGAAUACAUUGUAGUUUCGUAGAUUGUUUUUGCGGCAAUGAGCACUCGGAACGUUACUCGCACGUCUUGGUUCCCUCGGCUGUUCCUAGAGGGCAGGAAUAGCACGCCUCCUAGGAACAGCCGAGGGAACCAAGACGAUGUUCGCACUGACUGCACAUGCGCAUUCAGAAAUGACUGUUCAUUUGUUGAAGGUCGCAAAAUUUGCAACGAGGUCAGUGUUAUAGUAGUUUCGAGAAAACGACGCUGUAAUAAAAUAUUUUGUUGGCAUCUAACGACUAUUGACUCAUUAUUUCAAGUCUUUAUCGGUAGUAUUAAGUUCUUUGAGCCUUGUUUGUUGACGUUUAUUGGCUAUUUCACGACAAUGCUUCAUUUUCCGGUCCGCCAUUUUGACAGUCAGGAGUAGCGCUGAAAAUCAAACUUCGUCUAGGAAUAAUCAAUCUAGUUGUUAACAAUACUAAUACUGUAAUAGGCGAUCUGUGAAUUCAGUGAAGAAAGAAGUGCCGCAUAAAACUAAUACCAAGAAAUCCAGAGACAUUUUAGAGUCCCCAGCUUUAUUGAACCACCGCUGCUGCUGAAACCAGCUCAGAUGAACUACCUUUCACCAUUAUGAAUGCUAAAGCUACAUGUAUCAAGAAAGAUCUGAAGGGUUACAAUUAAUAAAGGCGUGUUUCGUACAAAGGGACAUUUCUUCAUUUAAAUUUGAUCAUAGUUUGGAAUAUCUCGCUCGAAAUUACAUUUCUGUUCAAUAAAGAUGAAUUCUGGAUGGAAUUAUCUUUUGGAUCUUUUGACUUUCGAAGGAACUUUCUUUAGUUAGGAUAGACAGGCUAGGCUGACCGUCUGUGUAUCUUGCGACGUUCGGAGGAACAUCUAAUGAUUCGAGGCUGAUCGACGCUGACCGAGACAGAUUGUGAAAAUGGCCGCUGCAAUGUUACUUCAAAGGGAAUUAAAGACUUUAAAGCAAAGACGCUCAAAUGCAAAGGGACUAUUGACAAGAAAGGGAAAUGAGAUUCAGACACUGUUGGACUGUACUGAUUCAAAGGAAAAGUUGGAAAGGAUUACCAAAUUAGGCGACGAUUUAGGUAGGAUUUUCACAGAUUUUCUUGCAUGCCAUAAUGCAUAUCAUAGUCUUCUUAACAGUGCAGAAGAUAUUGCCGAGUCAAGGUUGUAUUGCGAUGGGGUAGCGCGUUUCAUGAAGCGACGCCUAGAAGGAAUAUCUUCUUAGUCUGAGGCUUUAACGGAAAGGCUCUCGGAAAAGGCGGCCAGUAGUGUCAGUUCAGAUGUAAGCUCAUUAGAUACAAUUAGCGCAGACGAUUCAGUUUCAAACUUAGCUUGUAAGCGCAGGUCUGUCAGUAGCCGUAGCGGCAGCCACAGGUCCAGUGUUUCCAUGGCCCAGAUGCGGGCAGCAGCCAAUUGUGCCGCGUAUGAAGUAGAGCCAUCGCUAUUGUCGGAGAGACAAGCUCUUGCCAAGAAAGAGCUUGAAAUGUCACAACGGCGGGAAGAGUUGGAAAUGAAGGCCAAAUUAGCACAUGCUCAGGCAAAGGAAAGAGCAUUUAAAUCAAGUAGAAGUCCUGGAGCGUCCGAGAAGGUGGGCGUUUCCAGGAACGGUGGUCCCAAUGUGUUAAAGACAAAUGACACUAGAUUGGAUCCAACGCGACUUGAAUUUCAACCAGGCCAUGUCCUUGGAAAUAUGACUAACUAUGCCAACUAUCAAUCUACCCCAAUGGCACCGGAAAGUGUGCCACCUGUCAACACCAGUUUCUUUACACCAUUUCCUGGAAGCAAUGUGAUGAGCAACCAGCCAACAGUAAGUAAUAUGAGUAGCCCUACAGUUACAGACGCUCUUAUGGAGGUUUUGCAGCAAGGGCAACAGCAGCAAAGGAUGUUAUUAAAUACACUGCAGUUGCCUAAGGUAGAUCUGAUGACCUUUGAAGGGGAUCCUCUUAGGUAUUGGCUGUUUAUAAGGGCAUUCGAAAACUCCGUUGACCGUGACCUCAUUGACAACAGUGUCAAGCUAAGUAGGCUUCUGCGAUACUGUACAGGAAAGGCAAGGCAGGUGAUUGAGUGUUGCGCAGUAAAGGAUC
Long non-coding RNA from Lineus longissimus, 2153 nucleotides. RefSeq lists it as uncharacterized. NCBI's taxonomy places the organism in Eukaryota, Metazoa, Nemertea, Pilidiophora, Heteronemertea, Lineidae. The transcript is spliced from 4 exons. The record is from RefSeq and is a predicted model, not a curated record.